ACUCGGCUGGGCGAAGCCUGACCGCAAUGCCUGCUGUGCAGGAAGAAGGCCUUCGGGUUGUAAACUGCUUUUGUACGGAACGAAACGGUCUGCCCUAAUACGGUGGGCUAAUGACGGUACCGUAAGAAUAAGCACCGGCUAACUACGUGCCAGCAGCCGCGGUAAUACGUAGGGUGCGAGCGUUAAUCGGAAUUACUGGGCGAAAAGCGUGCGCAGGCGGUUCUAUAAGACAGAUGUGAAAUCCCCGGGCUCAACCUGGGAAUGGCAUUUGUGACUGUAGAGCUAGAGUACGGUAGAGGGGGAUGGAAUUCCGCGUGUAGCAGUGAAAUGCGGGGGAUAUGCGGAGGAACACCGAUGGCGAAGGCAAUCCCCUGGACCUGUACUGACGCUCAUGCACGAAAG
RNAcentral lists this ribosomal RNA (402 nucleotides) under uncultured bacterium. RNAcentral's name for it is "bacterial SSU rRNA". It matches the Rfam family "Bacterial small subunit ribosomal RNA", at positions 363 to 759 of the family's 1533-position model. The record is from RNAcentral.